Molecule: long non-coding RNA, 711 nt
Organism: Bubalus bubalis (water buffalo)
Lineage: Eukaryota; Metazoa; Chordata; Mammalia; Artiodactyla; Bovidae
Exons: 3
Source: RefSeq, a predicted model, not a curated record
UUCCCAGCAUCAGAGUCUUUUCCAAUGAGUGGGUUCUUCGCAUCAGGUGGGCAAAGUAUUAGAGCUUCAGCUUCAGCAUCAGCCCUUCCAGUGAAUAUCCAGGGUUGAUUUCCUUUAGGAAAUUUAGACUGAGGCAGACCAAGGUAUAAUUCAAGUGGCAGUCCAUCCAUCUGGGACCUGAGACCCCACCUUUGAUACGAGGACCCUGAAACACACUGUUCCAGCAUCACGGUCUUUUCCAGUGAGUCGACUCUUCCCAUCAGGUGACCAAAGUAUUGGAGCUUCAACUUCAGCAUCAGUCCUUCCAAUGAAUACUCAGGGUGGAUUUCCUUUAGGAUUGACUGGUUUGAUCUCCUUGUAGUCUCAAGAAUCUUCCAGCAGGCACUGUCAUUCACCAGCUGUGUAACCUUGGUGACCUGAAACUCACAGGAAAGUUGCAAGAACAAUGUAAAGAAUUUUUUUUUCUUGGACUUCCCUGGUGGUACAGUGGAUAAGAAUCUGCCUGCCAAGGAAGGGGACACGGGUUUAAUCCCUGGUCCAGGAAGAUUGCACAUGUUGCAGGGCAACAGCAGCAUGCGCUGUAAUCCCAUGCACCACGACUGAGCCCAUGUGCUGCGACCGCUGAAGCCUGUGCCCCAGCCAGAGAAGCCACUGCAGUGAGAAGCCCAUGCACCUCAACUGGAGAGGAGCCCCCACUUGCUGCAACUAGAG